UUGAAAAGUACAAAAAUGUCGAACUGCAACUGACAUUUCUCCAGACCGAGGAAAAAAAAAUGAAGACAAAGCUCAAUAAAACCAUCCUCACACAAAAGAAAUGGAUCUACAACAGUCUGACAGAGACAAUCAGGAGUAACAUGAAAGGAUGCUACAAAGAAGCAGCAGCAUUUGAAGGACCAGGCACCCUGAAGAGGAUGAGGGACACUAUUGAGAGACAUGUGGAGUCAAAGAAGUACAUGU
Long non-coding RNA from Pundamilia nyererei, 243 nucleotides. RefSeq lists it as uncharacterized. The record is from RefSeq and is a predicted model, not a curated record. The transcript has 3 exons. Lineage: Eukaryota; Metazoa; Chordata; Actinopteri; Cichliformes; Cichlidae.